RNAcentral lists this ribosomal RNA (554 nucleotides) under Micromonas polaris. RNAcentral describes it as "SSU rRNA". It matches the Rfam family "Eukaryotic small subunit ribosomal RNA", at positions 632 to 1198 of the family's 1831-position model. The record is from RNAcentral. Lineage: Eukaryota; Viridiplantae; Chlorophyta; Mamiellophyceae; Mamiellales; Mamiellaceae.
AGUUGGAUUUCGGUUGAGAACGGCCGGUCCGCCGUUUGGUGUGCACUGGCUGGUCUCAACUUCCUGUAGAGGACGCGCUCUGGGUUAACGCUCGGACGCGGAGUCUACGUGGUUACUUUGAAAAAAUUAGAGUGUUCAAAGCGGGCUUACGCUUGAAUAUUUCAGCAUGGAAUAACACUAUAGGACUCCUGUCCUAUUUCGUUGGUCUCGGGACGGGAGUAAUGAUUAAGAGGAACAGUUGGGGGCAUUCGUAUUUCAUUGUCAGAGGUGAAAUUCUUGGAUUUAUGAAAGACGAACUUCUGCGAAAGCAUUUGCCAAGGAUGUUUUCAUUAAUCAAGAACGAAAGUUGGGGGCUCGAAGAUGAUUAGAUACCAUCCUAGUCUCAACCAUAAACGAUGCCGACUAGGGAUUGCAGGAUGUUAAUUGAUGACUCCUGCAGCACCUUAUGAGAAAUCAAAGUUUUUGGGUUCCGGGGGGAGUAUGGUCGCAAGGCUGAAACUUAAAGGAAUUGACGGAAGGGCACCACCAGGCGUGGAGCCUGCGGCUUAAUUUGA